GGCCAGUUAACUCAGUUGGUUAGAGUGCCGUGCUCAUAACACUGGGGUUGCUGGUUCAAUUCCUGCAUGGGCCA
Hipposideros armiger (great roundleaf bat) is the source of this 74-nucleotide non-coding RNA. The record is from the annotation of a RefSeq genome assembly. Lineage: Eukaryota; Metazoa; Chordata; Mammalia; Chiroptera; Hipposideridae.